GACGAACGCUGGCGGCGUGCCUAAUACAUGCAAGUUGAGCGCUGAAGGUUGGUACUUGUGCCAACUGGAUGAGCAGCGAACGGGUGAGUAACGCGUGGGGAAUCUGCCUUUGAGCGGGGGACAACAUUUGGAAACGAAUGCUAAUACCGCAUAAAAACUUUAAACACAAGUUUUAAGUUUGAAAGAUGCAAUUGCAUCACUCAAAGAUGAUCCCGCGUUGUAUUAGCUAGUUGGUGAGGUAAAGGCUCACCAAGGCGAUGAUACAUAGCCGACCUGAGAGGGUGAUCGGCCCACAUGGGACUGAGACACGGCCCAAACUCCUACGGGAGGCAGCAGUAGGGAAUCUUCGGAAAUGGACGAAAGUCUGACCGAGCCACGCCGCGGGAGGGAAGAAGGGUUUCGGAUCGUAAAACUCGGUUGGUAGGGAAGAACGUUGGUGAGAGUGGAAAGCUCAUCAAGUGACGGUAACUACCCAGAAAGGGACGGCUAACUACGUG
This 497-nucleotide ribosomal RNA is filed under the name uncultured bacterium. RNAcentral's name for it is "partial 16S ribosomal RNA". It matches the Rfam family "Bacterial small subunit ribosomal RNA", at positions 28 to 507 of the family's 1533-position model. The record is from RNAcentral.